UAGGGCAAAACUAGUAACUGGGGCUAAGUCGUAACAAGGUAGCCGUACCGGAAGGUGUGGCUGGAACACCUCCUUUUUGGAGCUUA
RNAcentral lists this ribosomal RNA (86 nucleotides) under Bacteroidetes bacterium GWE2_40_15. RNAcentral's name for it is "partial 16S ribosomal RNA". The stretch from base 1 to 76 matches the Rfam family "Bacterial small subunit ribosomal RNA", at positions 1458 to 1533 of the family's 1533-position model. The record is from RNAcentral. Lineage: Bacteria; Pseudomonadati; Bacteroidota.